AACGAUCCCUUUAACAGUAUUAACAAGACGCAGUUCAGACAUUCUUCGCUGUUGUUCAUGCCGUUGUUGUUUUCUACUGAGUGCGUUCAUAUACAAAACCACUCAUAUUAAGCUACACUCCAAACUACUCUGUACAACUCUGGCAUACUCUCUGCUGCCUGUACUACAAUCAUUCACUCAACCAAAUUCAAGAACUGUAAAUCCUUUACAAGUCUGAAACCAUUAAAGUGUACUUCGUCUCUGA
This is a long non-coding RNA of Cyprinus carpio (common carp), 244 nucleotides long. RefSeq lists it as uncharacterized. The transcript has 2 exons. NCBI's taxonomy places the organism in Eukaryota, Metazoa, Chordata, Actinopteri, Cypriniformes, Cyprinidae. The record is from RefSeq and is a predicted model, not a curated record.